RNAcentral lists this ribosomal RNA (468 nucleotides) under uncultured bacterium. RNAcentral describes it as "partial 16S ribosomal RNA". It matches the Rfam family "Bacterial small subunit ribosomal RNA", at positions 28 to 507 of the family's 1533-position model. The record is from RNAcentral.
GACGAACGCUGGCGGCGUGCUUAACACAUGCAAGUCGAACGGAAAGGCCCUGCUUUUGUGGGGUGCUCGAGUGGCGAACGGGUGAGUAACACGUGAGUAACCUGCCCUUGACUUUGGGAUAACUUCAGGAAACUGGGGCUAAUACCGGAUAGGAGCUCCUGCUGCAUGGUGGGGGUUGGUAAGUUUCGGCGGUUGGGGAUGGACUCGCGGCUUAUCAGCUUGUUGGUGGGGUAGUGGCUUACCAAGGCUUUGACGGGUAGCCGGCCUGAGAGGGUGACCGGCCACAUUGGGACUGAGAUACGGCCCAGACUCCUACGGGAGGCAGCAGUGGGGAAUAUUGCACAAUGGGCGGAAGCCUGAUGCAGCAACGCCGCGUGCGGGAUGACGGCCUUCGGGUUGUAAACCGCUGUCGCCUGUGACGAAGCGUGAGUGACGGUAAUGGGUAAAGAAGCACCGGCUAACUACGUG